AUUGAACGCUGGCGGCAGGCCUAACACAUGCAAGUCGAGCGGAUGAAGGGAGCUUGCUCCUGGAUUCAGCGGCGGACGGGUGAGUAAUGCCUAGGAAUCUGCCUGGUAGUGGGGGAUAACGUCCGGAAACGGGCGCUAAUACCGCAUACGUCCUGAGGGAGAAAGUGGGGGAUCUUCGGACCUCACGCUCUCAGAUGAGCCUAGGUCGGAUUAGCUAGUUGGUGGGGUAAAGGCCUACCAAGGGGACGAUCCGUAACUGGUCUGAGAGGCUGAUCAGUCACACUGGAAGUGGGACACGGUCCAGAGUCCUACGGGAGGCAGCAGUGGGGAAUAGUGGGCAAUGGGGGAAAGCCUGAUCCAGCGAGGGCGCGUGUGUGAAGAAGGUCUUCGGAUUGUAAAGCACGUUAAGUUGGGAGGAAGGGCAGUAAGUUGAUACGUUGCUGUUUUGACGGUACCGAGAGAAUAAGCACCGGCUAACUUCGUG
Molecule: ribosomal RNA, 484 nt
Filed under: uncultured bacterium
Lineage: Bacteria
Description: partial 16S ribosomal RNA
Rfam family: Bacterial small subunit ribosomal RNA
Source: RNAcentral